ACGGAAGGCAGCAGUGGGGGAUAUUGCACAAUGGGGGAAACCCUGAUGCAGCGACGCCGCGUGAGUGAAGAAGUAUUUCGGUAUGUAAAGCUCUAUCAGCAGGGACGAAAAUGACGGUACCUGAGUAAGAAGCCCCAGCUAACUACGUGCCAGCAGCCGCGGUAAUACGUAGGGGGCAAGCGUUAUCCGGAUUUACUGGGUGUAAAGGGAGCGUAGACGGCGAAGCAAGUCUGAAGUGAAAGCCCGGGGCUCAACCGCGGGACUGCUUUGGAAACUGUUUUGCUGGAGUGCUGGAGAGGCAGGCGGAAUUCCUAGUGUAGCGGUGAAAUGCGUAGAUAUUAGGAGGAACACCAGUGGCGAAGGCGGCCUGCUGGACAGUAACUGACGUUGAGGCUCGAAAGCGUGGGGAGCAAACAGGAUUAGAUACCCUGGUA
Molecule: ribosomal RNA, 434 nt
Filed under: uncultured bacterium
Lineage: Bacteria
Description: bacterial SSU rRNA
Rfam family: Bacterial small subunit ribosomal RNA
Source: RNAcentral